UUUAUUUUUAAUGAUGUGAGAAAACUUUUGUUAGGCCACAAAAAUACUGCACUGUGAACAUUUCAGAAAAGGUAUGUCGAACUUGGAUUCAUAACAGCAUGAUUUUAAAUGGCUGUGAAUAAGUGAUAAGGAAAUGUACUGACUGCCAGAACUCCCCACCCUCAUUACAUCACCAGGACUUGAAGCCAAGGGUUAACACAGCAAGCUAUAAAGAGGGUGUGUUUAUAGUAGAGUUGAGUUAAAACCCAAUAGUAGAGUUAAGCUCUUUUUGUGAGACAGUGAUUACAACUGAAAGUUCUUUGACAGUGGUGGAAUUUACCAGAAGACCCAAGGAAUUGUACUGCAGAGAUAUUCCAAUUCAAAUAUUAUUAUUUCAGAAGUGUAUAGAGUGAUACUAAUUACAGAAUAUUGUAAAUAAUGGAUGAGGAAGAAAAAAAUCUGCUCUGCAGGAAAAAACCGUUUCUACUAAUGUCAGGAGAAUGAAUACAUCAAGAAUAGAGCUUAUGGAAACAACUCAUCAACAAGACUGCACACCUGUAUAUAUGCUUGAAAAAGCUACAAUGUGAAUUUCAUGUUUGCUAUUUAUAAACGUGUCCUUUGGUUAAUAUGUCUAGACAGACUGUGGGAGUUAAGUGAUUCUUCUAAGAAUUAGAUACUUGUCACUGCCUAUACCUGCAGUUGAGCUGAAUGGUACUUUGUAUGUUAAUAGUUGUUGUUCGGAUAAAUCAUACAAUUAAAGUGAUGUAUCAUCUUGUAUACUG
RNAcentral lists this long non-coding RNA (761 nucleotides) under Bos taurus (domestic cattle). RNAcentral describes it as "long non-coding RNA NONBTAT019638". Lineage: Eukaryota; Metazoa; Chordata; Mammalia; Artiodactyla; Bovidae. The record is from RNAcentral.